Molecule: long non-coding RNA, 1616 nt
Filed under: Sus scrofa (pig)
Lineage: Eukaryota; Metazoa; Chordata; Mammalia; Artiodactyla; Suidae
Description: lncRNA (ENSSSCG00055004955.1)
Source: RNAcentral
GAGUGUCUUGCUCCGCCUUCAGCUGAGGUGUGGGCGCAGCCCUUUUCCACGAGGAGCUCUGGUGAACAAGUGCGAGUCCUCUACAUGUGGUGCUCUGCAAGCAAGUGAAAAUAGACUAAGCUCAAAGGAAAGAAAAGCGCUUGAUGACAAUUUUACCAAAAUGCUACCAUGUCCAUUGAUCACCUUUGAGAUUAAAAGAAAUAUUGUGAGGAAGACUGGUGUAUGAUCAGUCAGAUUAAUGAUUACUUAAGGUGAAAUGGAAGCUAAAAAAGAUUCAACAUCAGUCAUCUAUGGAAAAUGAAUAGGUGAUCUUCUAGGUAUGUUCCAAGCUUUAGUAAUUCAUGACCUAAGGAAUAACUGUAGUCAUGAAGUUAAGAUGUAAAUGUUUAAUUACAAUAAUUACCAACAAUGUUUCUGUACACUAUAGUAGAGAAGCUAGAGAAAAGUGUAUGUGAGUGUAAAACACUUAAAGUUGAUAUACAAGAGAAAUGUUUUAUUAAUUUAUUGGAAGAUAUUUCAUUUUUCUCAUACAAAAGUAUUACCUAGUGAUAUCUAAUGACUUUCCAUGUUUUGUUGUUAUUAUCAUUUUGACCUCUUGUGUUUCAUAAUAUGUUUGCAAACAAUUACAUCCAUCUAGGGGAAAUUGUUUAGAGACCUAACAGCCUUCUAUGAGUCAAAAUCAUUUGUGCAUAGAACAAGUAAAAAUCAUUUAACAUAUAGGAAUAUAACAUGUAUAGCUGGUAAAUCUGAAAUUGCUAAUGUAGAUUGCCACUCCAGUCAAUAUAUAUCAAACAUUUCUAUCAAAUGUACCAUCUAUCAUGUAUGUGCAUUGCUUUUGUAGUUUUUAUUUCCCUUUUUAUUGUAGAAAGUAUAUAUUACUGUGACUAAAAACUACUCUUUGGGGAAUACAGUGGUUUCCAGGUCAGUGGAAAUGUGGAUUUAAAUAUUAAAAAGUGGAGUAGUUUAACCCUAGUUUGACCUUUAUCACCUCUCAGGUGAAUUGGGUGUAUUUGAAAGAAUGUAUCUGAAAAACAACAGAAUAGCGAAAAAAUUACAUCUGUGUAACCCUGUGGUCAAUCCAAUAACAGUAUUUUUAAUGAAUAAGUUCAAAACAGUAUACAUGUGUGUAUGUCCACUGUGUCUCUUUGUUUGUGCAUAUUUGUAUUUAUGUACUUAUGUAUUUUCAAUGCAUUGUCUGUCUUGUGAAUAUUUCAGUCUUUCAAGACAUCAUUUGCUUUUUCUACCAAAAUAUCAAUCUCCAUUUAUAUUACUCUAGCAAGUAAACUUCAAGCUUCAAAUAAGUUAAGAAAUACUGCCAUGAAAGCUGGAAAGAAGGAGUCUAAAGACCAACUUAUUGGAAUUCCUGCUAUGGCUCAGUGGGUUAAGAACCUAACUAGCAUCCAUGAGGAUGUGGGGUUCAUUCCUUGGCCUUGCUCAGUGGAUUAAGGAUCCGGUGUUGCUGUGAGCUCUGGUGUAGGUUGCAGACACGGCUCGGAUCCUGUGUUGCUGUGGCUGUGGUAUAGGGCCACAGCUGCAGCUCCAAUUCUACUCCUGGCCUGGGAACUUCCUUAUGCCAUGGAUGUGGCCCUAAAAAAGCAAAAAAAAAAAAAAAAAAA